GACGAACGCUGGCGGCGUGCUUAACACAUGCAAGUCGAACGCUGAAGCUUGGUGCUUGCACUGGGUGGAUGAGUGGCGAACGGGUGAGUAAUACGUGAGUAACCUGCCCUUGACUCUGGGAUAAGCCUGGGAAACUGGGUCUAAUACUGGAUACGACAUGCCACUGCAUGGUGGUGUGUGGAAAGGGUUUUACUGGUUUUGGAUGGGCUCACGGCCUAUCAGCUUGUUGGUGGGGUAAUGGCCUACCAAGGCGACGACGGGUAGCCGGCCUGAGAGGGUGACCGGCCACACUGGGACUGAGACACGGCCCAGACUCCUAUGGGAGGCAGCAGUGGGGAAUAUUGCACAAUGGGCGGAAGCCUGAUGCAGCGACGCCGCGUGAGGGAUGACGGCCUUCGGGUUGUAAACCUCUUUCAGCACGGAAGAAGCGAGAGUGACGGUACGUGCAGAAGAAGCGCCGGCUAACUACGUG
This 472-nucleotide ribosomal RNA is filed under the name uncultured bacterium. RNAcentral describes it as "partial 16S ribosomal RNA". It matches the Rfam family "Bacterial small subunit ribosomal RNA", at positions 28 to 507 of the family's 1533-position model. The record is from RNAcentral.